Molecule: transfer-messenger RNA, 374 nt
Filed under: Clavibacter michiganensis
Lineage: Bacteria; Bacillati; Actinomycetota; Actinomycetes; Micrococcales; Microbacteriaceae
Also listed under: 3 other names
Rfam family: transfer-messenger RNA
About the family: Bacterial tmRNA, also known as 10Sa RNA or SsrA, is named for its dual tRNA and mRNA-like properties. Its role is to liberate the mRNA from a stalled ribosome.
Source: RNAcentral
GGGGAUGAUCGGUUUCGACAUUGCCUGCAAAACUGCGAGAAGCGGGUCGAGGAUGCAGGGCUAUCUCGUAAACGCUCCCUGCACAACACAAGUGCCAAUUCCAAGCGCACUGACUUCGCUCUCGCUGCCUAAGCGAAAGCACUAAGAGGUCCGUCGGUCCGGUGAUGCUCUCUAACCGGCAACCGGCGACAGAUAGAGAGAUUGCUGCGCGGUCGUGCCUCAGGGCCGUGUGGGACUCGCACUGUGGCUGGGCCCGUCGACUCAGAUGCCAGGAGCAAGAGUCGGGGCCGAGCAGAACGCCUUUCCUGGCUACACCCGUAGAAGGCGCAGGAUUACAGCAGUGGACCGGGGUUCGAUUCCCCGCAUCUCCACCA